CGGGAUGUGGCUCAGUCUGGUAGAGCACAGCGUUCGGGACGCUGGAGUCGGAGGUUCAAAUCCUCUCAUCCCGACCA
This 77-nucleotide transfer RNA is filed under the name Desulfoprunum benzoelyticum. Its description in RNAcentral is "tRNA-Pro". It matches the Rfam family "tRNA". From Rfam's summary of the family: Transfer RNA (tRNA) molecules are approximately 80 nucleotides in length. Their secondary structure includes four short double-helical elements and three loops (D, anti-codon, and T loops). RNAcentral also lists the same sequence under 3 other names. Lineage: Bacteria; Pseudomonadati; Thermodesulfobacteriota; Desulfobulbia; Desulfobulbales; Desulfobulbaceae. The record is from RNAcentral.